Molecule: ribosomal RNA, 521 nt
Filed under: fungal sp. UFMGCB 2470
Lineage: Eukaryota; Fungi
Description: eukaryotic LSU rRNA
Rfam family: 5.8S ribosomal RNA (bases 167-320)
Source: RNAcentral
UAUUACGAGUCAUGCCCUCACGGCGUAGACUCCCACCCUUUGUAUACCUACCUCUUGUUGCUUUGGCGGGCCGCCUAGCUACUGGCUUCGGCUGGUAAGUGCCCGCCAGAGAACCCCAAACCCAAACCCAUUUAUAGUGUCGUCUGAGAAAAAGUUUAAUAUUUAAAACUUUCAACAACGGAUCUCUUGGCUCUGGCAUCGAUGAAGAACGCAGCGAAAUGCGAUAAGUAAUGUGAAUUGCAGAAUUCAGUGAAUCAUCGAAUCUUUGAACGCACAUUGCGCCCCUUGGUAUUCCGAGGGGCAUGCCUAUUCGAGCGUCAUUAUCACCCCUCAAGCUCCGGCUUGGUGUUGAGGCCUGCUGUAAAGGCACCCUCUAAAAUCAGUGGCAGUGCCGUCCGGCUCUAAGCGUAGUAAACACGUCGCUAUAGACUCGUGCGGUCCCUCGCCAGAAACCCCCCAUUUUUUAAUGAUUGACCUCGGAUUAGGUAGGGAUACCCGCCGAACUUAAGCAUAUCAAUAGC